CAAUAGCGUAUACUAGUGUUGUUGCAGUUAAAAAGCUCGUAGUUGAACUUCUGGUAGGAGUGUCCCGGCCUUUUUGUUUUUACAAAUUGUAUGCUGUGUGACAUCUCUGGCCAUCCUUCUUCUUUGUUUAAAGAAGAUCUUUCACUGUAAAAAAAUUAGGGUGUUCAAAGCAAAAGUUUCUUUGGAAUAUAUUAGUAUGGGAUGAUAAGAUAGGCUCUAGAUGCUAUUUUGUUGGUUUGCACAUUUAGAGAAUGAUUAACAGGGACAGUUGGGGGUAUUCGUAUUUACAUGUCAGAGGUGAAAUUCUUGGAUUUUGGAAAGACGAACUACUGCGAAAGCAUUUACCAAGGAUGUUUUCAUUAA
This 363-nucleotide ribosomal RNA is filed under the name uncultured eukaryote. RNAcentral describes it as "partial 18S ribosomal RNA". It matches the Rfam family "Eukaryotic small subunit ribosomal RNA", at positions 592 to 976 of the family's 1831-position model. The record is from RNAcentral.